This 642-nucleotide ribosomal RNA is filed under the name Brucella anthropi. RNAcentral's name for it is "bacterial SSU rRNA". It matches the Rfam family "Bacterial small subunit ribosomal RNA", at positions 94 to 729 of the family's 1533-position model. The record is from RNAcentral. Lineage: Bacteria; Pseudomonadati; Pseudomonadota; Alphaproteobacteria; Hyphomicrobiales; Brucellaceae.
AGCGGCAGACGGGUGAGUAACGCGUGGGAACGUACCAUUUGCUACGGAAUAACUCAGGGAAACUUGUGCUAAUACCGUAUGAGCCCCCCUUUAAAAUUUCAGGAAUCAUAAAAUGCCCUGGCAUUUUAUGGGGGGGAAAGAUUUAUCGGCAAAUGAUCGGCCCGCGUUGGAUUAGCUAGUUGGUGGGGUAAAGGCCUACCAAGGCGACGAUCCAUAGCUGGUCUGAGAGGAUGAUCAGCCACACUGGGAGUGAGACACGGCCCAGACUCCUACGGGAGGCAGCAGUGGGGAAUAUUGGACAAUGGGCGCAAGCCUGAUCCAGCCAUGCCGCGUGAGUGAUGAAGGCCCUAGGGUUGUAAAGCUCUUUCACCGGUGAAGAUAAUGACGGUAACCGGAGAAGAAGCCCCGGCUAACUUCGUGCCAGCAGCCGCGGUAAUACGAAGGGGGCUAGCGUUGUUCGGAUUUACUGGGCGUAAAGCGCACGUAGGCGGGCUAAUAAGUCAGGGGUGAAAUCCCGGGGCUCAACCCCGGAACUGCCUUUGAUACUGUUAGUCUUGAGUAUGGUAGAGGUGAGUGGAAUUCCGAGUGUAGAGGUGAAAUUCGUAGAUAUUCGGAGGAACACCAGUGGCGAAGGCGGCUCAC